This 594-nucleotide long non-coding RNA is filed under the name Felis catus (domestic cat). RNAcentral describes it as "lncRNA (ENSFCAG00000040499.2)". Lineage: Eukaryota; Metazoa; Chordata; Mammalia; Carnivora; Felidae. The record is from RNAcentral.
CCUCAGACUCCUGAGUGAAGCCCGUUCUCUCCGGCAGCUGUGGGGUGCUGAGCGUCGCAUCCCAGCCUCUACUGGCCGGCUUCUGGGGAGCCCCUCGAGCGAGCUGCAGCAGCCUCAGCAGGCCCUCAAGGGGGCGCCGAUGACAUCCGUGUGAAUCCGGUCACCAAGCUGAUGGUCCCCAGCCCCAACUGUGCAAUGCUUCCGGCCAGUGGCCAUGCAGGGUCCAUACCUCCUGGCUACUUCGUCCACCCUGACACCGGGAGGGUGCUGCCUGAAGCUGGAAACCUGGGGUGGCGUCCGAACAUCAGAAGCUGCCAUCCUCCCCUAUGUGCCCUACCCGACCUGCCCCGCCACAGGCUCCCCUCCAACCUCCUGCCUGCCCGUCCUGCAGCCACGAAGGACGUCACAGAUGGGGGCUGUCAUGACAGACCCUGCAACUGGCAUCGAGGUGCCCGUGCUGGCUGUGACCCUGCACCCUCAGACGAGGCAGUGGCUCGCUCUUGGGGGCACAUACUGCAACCCUCUCACCAAGACCUUGGCCCCUCUAGAGCUGGGGGGCCCCAUGGAGGAUCCAGUCACUGGAGGCAUCUCGCC